This 729-nucleotide non-coding RNA is filed under the name Pan troglodytes (chimpanzee). The record is from RNAcentral. Lineage: Eukaryota; Metazoa; Chordata; Mammalia; Primates; Hominidae.
CUGGCAGAGGUGGUUGGGGCUAUGUGCCUGGAGUGAAGAUUCUGCCCAUUGGUCAAGAGACCUCCCUCUCAGAUGCUGGCUCUGCCCCUGCCUUUGGGGGUCGACCCUUGUACUCGCAGGACCUUAGGUGACUCUAUUCUACUUCUCUGAUCAUCCAGGAAGCCAACCUGCCUGAGGACGAGUCAUACUCUGUCCUCCCACCCCAGGCCAGAGAGUGGUAUCUGUCUGUCCACAAGUUCAGCUACAACUAAGAAGAAUACGCUUCUUGUCAAGAUGGCACAUAUGCACAGGCUACCGGCUGUCUCCUCCAGUAUCCUGGAAAAACUACAAGAAAACAUGGAUUCCAGGAAACAGUAACUACAACACAGAAUAUAUGAGAAAAUCCCACAGAUAGAGGGCUGUUUUGAACUGUUUCCCAUGACUGCAGAAAACAAAAGACUCCAGACAGCAAACAAAACAAAAAACACCCCAAGACACCAAACAAAACACAGUUAAAACCAGUGGGCCAGGGCUCAGCCCACGAUGCUCUGCAGGGAAAGGUAGUUGCUGGUACCUGUAAGGGAAUAUCAGCUCAAAGGCCAAGACAGCUAGAUACCUGAGAAGGUCUAUCAUCUGCCCCACAAAAGACAACAAACUGAAUAACACAUAUAUUUUAAGCAACUGUACUUUGCUUAAAAAAAGAUUAGACAGACCAGGAACUUAAAACAAGCAUGAUAAUACUUAAGGAGG